Molecule: ribosomal RNA, 817 nt
Filed under: Salmonella enterica subsp. enterica serovar Stanleyville
Lineage: Bacteria; Pseudomonadati; Pseudomonadota; Gammaproteobacteria; Enterobacterales; Enterobacteriaceae
Description: partial 23S ribosomal RNA
Rfam family: Bacterial large subunit ribosomal RNA
Source: RNAcentral
CAGGUUUACCUGUGUGACUGCGUACCUUUUGUAUAAUGGGUCAGCGACUUAUAUUCUGUAGCAAGGUUAACCGAAUAGGGGAGCCGGAGGGAAACCGAGUCUUAACCGGGCGUUAAGUUGCAGGGUAUAGACCCGAAACCCGGUGAUCUAGCCAUGGGCAGGUUGAAGGUUGGGUAACACUAACUGGAGGACCGAACCGACUAAUGUUGAAAAAUUAGCGGAUGACCUGUGGCUGGGGGUGAAAGGCCAAUCAAACCGGGAGAUAGCUGGUUCUCCCCGAAAGCUAUUUAGGUAGCGCCUCGUGAAUUCAUCUCCGGGGGUAGAGCACUGUUUCGGCUAGGGGGCCAUCCCGGCUUACCAACCCGAUGCAAACUGCGAAUACCGGAGAAUGUUAUCACGGGAGACACACGGCGGGUGCUAACGUCCGUCGUGAAGAGGGAAACAACCCAGACCGCCAGCUAAGGUCCCAAAGUCAUGGUUAAGUGGGAAACGAUGUGGGAAGGCCCAGACAGCCAGGAUGUUGGCUUAGAAGCAGCCAUCAUUUAAAGAAAGCGUAAUAGCUCACUGGUCGAGUCGGCCUGCGCGGAAGAUGUAACGGGGCUAAACCAUGCACCGAAGCUGCGGCAGCGACGCUGAUGCGUUGUUGGGUAGGGGAGCGUUCUGUAAGCCUGUGAAGGUGGCCUGUGAGGGUUGCUGGAGGUAUCAGAAGUGCGAAUGCUGACAUAAGUAACGAUAAAGCGGGUGAAAAGCCCGCUCGCCGGAAGACCAAGGGUUCCUGUCCAACGUUAAUCGGGGCAGGGUGAGUCGACCCCUAAGG